Molecule: non-coding RNA, 600 nt
Organism: Rhinichthys klamathensis goyatoka
Lineage: Eukaryota; Metazoa; Chordata; Actinopteri; Cypriniformes; Leuciscidae
Source: the annotation of a RefSeq genome assembly
CUACUAUCUCUGAACGUGUAAAUAAGAAUAAACAAACAAUAUGUUGAAAGUCAGACUUGGUUACAAAGGUUAUUAAGGAUACAGAAAAUGUAAAUGUACCUUUAGAGGGCAGCCUAUGCAAACCUACUUCCACUUCUCCCUUUUAAAAGCCCCCACUCUAUUCAUCUACAGACACAAAACUUGUUUAUGACUUUCUUGCAUCAAGUUCCUCUUUUCAUAACAUGGCAAUGGAUAUUGUGUCUAAACUGUGUUUUAUCUUCAUGUUUGCUCUCACAGAUUUCUGUUGGUGUCAGACACUGACUGAGUCUGAGUCAGCGGUCAUUAAACCUGGAGGAUCUCACAGACUUAUCUGUACAGCCUCUGGAUUUAGUGGUGACCAGCACUUGGCUUGGAUCAGACAGGCUGCAGGAGGAGGUCUGGAGUGGCUGGCAUACAUCUCAUCUGGCAGUGGUUCUAUAUACUACUCUCAGUCUGUUCAGGGACGGUUCACCAUCUCCAGAGACAACAGCAAGAAACAGAUGUAUCUGCAGAUGAAUAAUAUGAAGAAUGAAGACACUGCUGUAUAUUAUUGUGCAAGAGAGUCACAGUAACAAAUACAAC